GCUAACGGCUGAACUGGCAACUUGGAGAAGUGGCAAGUCUUCCAGUAUGGGGAGCAAAACAGCUAUGGGUCAAGUCCGAUAUCUUUAGGAGAAGUCUUAUUGUGAGGGCGAGUUAUAUAACACCAUAGGACUGGCCGUCCCAUAUGAAAAGAUUAUAUUAGAAUUGAAUGAAGCUUUGUUUAUAUAUUGAUAAUGACAGUAUAUAUAUCGUGUCUUGACUAAUUGCGUGCCAGCAGUCGCGGUAAUACGUAAGAGACUAGUGUUAUUCAUCUUAAUUAGGUUUAAAGGGUACCCAGACGGUCAAUAUAGCUUAUAAAAUGUUAGUACUUGACUAGAGUUUUAUGUAAGAGGGCAGUACUUGAGGAGGAGAGAUGAAAUUUCGUGAUACCAAAGGGACUCUGUAAAGGCGAAGGCAGCCCUCUAUGUAAAAACUGACGUUGAAGGACGAAGGCACAGAGAACAAACAGGAUUAGAUACCCAAGUAGUCUUUGCAGUAAAUGAUGAAUGCCAUAGGUUAGAUUGAUCAAUUAUAGUCUAGGGUUAGUCUAGCAAACUAAUGCCCUAUGAUAUAAUUCAAAAUAUCUGGUCUAUAAAUGAAAGUGUAAGCAUUUCACCUCAAGAGUAAUGUGGCAACGCAGGAACUGAAAUCACUAGACCGUUUCUGACACCAGUAGUGAAGUAU
RNAcentral lists this ribosomal RNA (682 nucleotides) under Fusarium oxysporum f. sp. cubense. RNAcentral's name for it is "SSU rRNA". It matches the Rfam family "Bacterial small subunit ribosomal RNA", at positions 291 to 940 of the family's 1533-position model. RNAcentral also lists the same sequence under 1 other name. The record is from RNAcentral. Lineage: Eukaryota; Fungi; Ascomycota; Sordariomycetes; Hypocreales; Nectriaceae.